RNAcentral lists this unclassified non-coding RNA (339 nucleotides) under soil metagenome. RNAcentral's name for it is "partial contains 5.8S ribosomal RNA, internal transcribed spacer 2, and large subunit ribosomal RNA". The stretch from base 1 to 120 matches the Rfam family "5.8S ribosomal RNA", at positions 35 to 154 of the family's 154-position model. The record is from RNAcentral.
GAUGAAGAACGUAGCGAAAUGCGAUAAGUAGUGUGAAUUGCAGAAUUCAGUGAAUCAUCGAAUCUUUGAACGCUCAUUGCGCCCCUCGGUAUUCCGUGGGGCAUGCCUGUUCGAGCGUCAUUUAACCCCUCAAGCCUAGCUUGGUAUUGGGUGCUUGUCCCGCCUCUCGCGCGGCGACUCACCUCAAAGUCAUUGGCAGCCCGCAUCUCGCCGGCCGUGAGCGCAGCACAGACGCGCUCUUGGCAACGACGGAUCGGCUCUCCAAAAGCUUAUUUCAACCACUGACCUCGGAUCAGGUAGGGAUACCCGCUGAACUUAAGCAUAUCAAUAAGCGGAGGA